Molecule: ribosomal RNA, 202 nt
Filed under: uncultured bacterium
Lineage: Bacteria
Description: partial 16S ribosomal RNA
Rfam family: Bacterial small subunit ribosomal RNA
Source: RNAcentral
ACGCUCGACACCUACGGGGAGGCAGCAGGUUGGGAAUAUUGGACAAUGGAGGAAACUCUGAUCCAGUGACGCCGCGUGAAGGAAGAAGGUCUUCGGAUUGUAAACUUAUUUUGUCAGGGAAGAAAAAAUGACUGUACCUGAAGAAAAAGCACCGGCUAACUACGUGUCAGCAGCCGCGGUACUCUGAGCGGGCUGGCAAGGC